GAAAUGUUUAAAUUGUCCGAUCGAAAUCGAAUUCUAUUAUUUAAAGCGUUUAAAGUUAUUACCGGAGAAUUUAUGUGUGACAUGAUUAUACGGUGCAAUAAUGAACGUACUCACUUCUAGCUCAUCCCCUUUCAAGAGCGGGUCUCGUUUCUUCAAGUACCGAAUUAAAACAGGAUUUUUUUCUGAUUGGAAAUUUUAUUUAU
Molecule: long non-coding RNA, 203 nt
Organism: Cotesia glomerata
Lineage: Eukaryota; Metazoa; Arthropoda; Insecta; Hymenoptera; Braconidae
Exons: 3
Source: RefSeq, a predicted model, not a curated record